CUGGCGGGCAUGCGCGGGCGCCCCACUAACAUGGCGGCGGCGGUGGCGGCAGCGUGAAUCCCGGCGGCGGGGGCUGCGCGCUGCCUGACAGACCCACGAGCCGCCGGCGGCGCGCGAGGAAGCGGGUGGCUCCCCCCGCCCCUAGGCCGGAAACUGUUGUGCUGAAAGGAAGAAUUAACUGGUCUUUCAACUUCAGCCUUUUUAUUGUGAGAAGGAAGAUCACAGAAGUGUUACCAUGGGGAGAACAGCAGCUAAAGAUUCAAAGAAUGUUAAAAAGGAGAAACAUGGGAAGAGUCAGCAGUCAAACAACGUGUCUUUAAAAAAUGCAUGUUUGCUGAUACUGAAGAGAGGAGUUGCAAUAAUUAGGCUGAAUCUUCAUUAGUGCUAAAUGAAGGUAGAGAAGGUAAAAUAAUUUUAUGCAUUUGUUCUUCUGUAUGAAAAACUAAAACACAAAGUUGAUUCUUUGAGACUAAAUAAAAUUUCAG
This 485-nucleotide long non-coding RNA is filed under the name Gopherus agassizii (Agassiz's desert tortoise). Its description in RNAcentral is "lncRNA (ENSGAGG00000010341.1)". The record is from RNAcentral. Lineage: Eukaryota; Metazoa; Chordata; Testudines; Testudinidae.